UACGUAGGUGGCGAGCGUUAUCCGGAAUUACUGGGUGUAAAGGGUGUGUAGGCGGGAAAGCAAGUCAGAAGUGAAAACUAUGGGCUCAACUCAUAGCCUGCUUUUGAAACUGCAUUUCUUGAGGACCGGAGGGGUAAACGGAAUUCCUGGUGUAGCGGUGAAAUGCGUAGAUAUCAGGAGGAACACCGGUGGCGAAGGCGGUUUACUGGACGGUUACUGACGCUGAGACACGAAAGUGUGGGGAG
Molecule: ribosomal RNA, 245 nt
Filed under: uncultured Eubacteriales bacterium
Lineage: Bacteria; Bacillati; Bacillota; Clostridia; Eubacteriales
Description: uncultured Clostridiales bacterium partial 16S ribosomal RNA
Rfam family: Bacterial small subunit ribosomal RNA
Source: RNAcentral